Molecule: ribosomal RNA, 402 nt
Filed under: uncultured prokaryote
Description: bacterial SSU rRNA
Rfam family: Bacterial small subunit ribosomal RNA
Source: RNAcentral
UAGGGAAUAUUAGAAAUGGACGAAAGUCUGAUCUAACAACACCGCGUGUGCGAAGAAGGCCUUCGGGUCGUAAAGCACUUUUUGGAAGGAAUAGGAAGGAAUGUACUUCCAGAAUAAGUCUCGGCUAACUACGUGCCAGCAGCCGCGGUAACACGUAGGAGGCGAACGUUAUCCGGAGUUACUGGGCGUAAAGCGCGUGUAGGUGGUUAUGUAAGUAGGGCGUGAAAGCUCCUGGCUCAACUGGGAGAGGGCGUUCUAAACUACAGAACUAGAGGAUGGUAGAGGGAGGUGGAAUUCCAGGUGUAGCGGUGGAAUGCGCAGAUAUCUGGAGGAACACCAGUGGCGAAGGCGGCCUCCUGGACCAUGCCUGACACUCAGACGCGAAAGCUAGGGUAGCAAACG